Molecule: non-coding RNA, 31 nt
Filed under: Mus musculus (house mouse)
Lineage: Eukaryota; Metazoa; Chordata; Mammalia; Rodentia; Muridae
Source: RNAcentral
UAGUAAAGUUGUCCUCAGUGCCAUAUUGACU